UGAACCUGCAACCUCAUGGUUCCUAGUUGGAUUUGUUUCCACUGGGCCACAACGGGAACUCCCCCUUUUAACUCAUUUAAUCUGGUACUUCUGUCCCAUCUUCCAUAUAAGAAAAACUGAGGUACAGAAUGGUUAAGUCCGUUGCCCGAAUUCCUUCAGUUAAGGUUAAUCACCGCAAGUAUUAUGAUGGUUGGUUUUGUCAUUUGUCCCCACAAGGUCCCCACAUACUCAGAGCUUAUCCCCAAAGGAGUAAUUACAGAUCUGCCUCCUUCCUUCUUGAUUCUGGUCGGGGACCUCCUGAUGCAGCCCCGGAGGAAUGAUAAUGGCCAUGGCCAACACGGCUGCUGGGCUGGGCAGACCUGGAUCCAUGAUCUUCCCGCCAGGGCCACUUCCAGAUGAGGAAACUGAGGCACAGUUAGAAUUGCAAAGCCCAGGUCACGCCGCUAAAAGUGGCAGAGCCAGGAUUUGUACCCGGAAAUGUAGCAGGGCAUCUCGUCAAGCAAGCGGCACAGGGAGGACUCGAAUUUUCUGAGGACUGACUUCUUGGAGGAAACAGUCGGCUGUGUUUGGGCACAUGGUCUGUUGAAGAGAAGACAGAGUCAGCUGGUAGAGGACAGAAAAUCUGUGUGCCGAGGGGACCGAGAGCAACUGCCACAGAUGGUCCCUUGCACUUGGCCCCUGGGCAGGCCAGCAGCUCCGCCUCAGGGGAUGGCCCGACUGUUUGGAUGCUUUGUCCCAGGACUCUGAGAUCACCAGCCUGCAGAGGAGCAGAACUGCAUUCAGGGCAGGAAUCCCUCAUGAGCUGCUUCCCCCAUUGUUAAACCCUCAGCUUCCCUCCCUCUAAACUGGCCUGACAGGCCCCCCUGCCUCCCGCCUCUGAGGAUUUAUGGAGCAGUUCCCUGGAGGACCGCGGCACCAAGGCUGAGCUGCCCAGGGCUUAGCGGGUGAGGUGUGCCUAGGCCAACCGGUUGCCAGGCUGCAGCCCCCAGAGCAGACGGCAGAACCAACAGCCUCAGCCCUGCCUCCUCAGCCGUCCUGGGCACCCCCUCCCUGACAGGCAGCCUUCAACCCAGCUGAAAGGCCGGCCCUGCCCCUGGAGGCUGGUGGCCUCUGGGCUACCCUCAGAGGCCUUACGAGGCAGAUGCAGCCAAGAACAGGCCUCUGCUCUUCCAGGGAACAGCCACAGGGACACCACCUACCUCUGCGUGUUAAACAGGCCGGCAACACCACCUGGCUGACGUGAGGUACACAUGUUCCAGCCCUGCUGGCCCCUGUCCCCGCCACAGGGCCCUGCGAGGAGGAGGCAGUUCCUAAGGGAACAGCCUGUUCGGUGCCCAAGGUGGGGCGGCAGUUGGGAGGGUGGGUCCCCAGGUCACACCUGAGGACGCAGGCCCAGAACGUUCUCAUCCGUACAUGGGACGCUCUGCCUCGUGAAGGGCAGCCCGGGGCCUGGGGGGGAGUGAGCGCUCAGUGGGUGAGCUUUGUCGCUGCUGCUGUCACCACCCAAGCAGUCAAGAGCAGUCCCCCAGUUGCCGUGAGCUGUGGUGUAGGUCACAGACAUGACUUGGAUCCUCGAGUUGCUAUGGCUGUGGUGUGGCCGGCAGCUACAGCUCCGGUUGGACACUUAGUCUGAGAACCUCCAAGUGCCGCGGGAAAUGGCCCUAGAAAAGGCAAAAAGACAAAAAAAAAACAAAAACAAAACAGGACCCUCCAUUCACAGCCUGGCUCCUCCGUCACUGUCACCAUGUCAGAAGCUGUCUGAGCAUCAGUGCCCUCCCUGGUGGAGCGAGGUGAUGCCCAAGAGGAAGGGAUGUAGCCGCAGGAGACACCGCAGCCCCAGGGAGGAGGGGAGGCUGGGGCGGGGGUGGGCAGGGGGUGCCUGCAUCGCCAGGAACCGCCGUCCCCACGCUCCAUUCCCCUGGAGUGCUGCUUUCCUCACCCGCAAAUCUCGGGUGUCUCGGACCAUCAGGCAGGUGUGGGUUCUGAGUGUCCUCGCCUCACUGUACCCCUGUCCCCAGCCUCCAAAGGGAUGACAAGAUGGCCUGCCUCGCAGAGGCGGGUAAGGAGUCAGUGAGUGGUAGGCAAGUGUGCGGUUGUCACUGGCCUCUGCAAGCCUCUCCCCAGCAUACCCGCCCCUGCCAGCGGCCCGUCCCAGCCCUCCUGCCAGGAAAACCCGCCUGCAGACCUGGAGAGUGUGCGCCGGCAAGGUUGGCAGAACCCCCAGCUCAGGCAGCCGACAGUGGUGCUCAUUAGCUUAAUUAGGCUGACCCCGGGGGAGCCGCCCCAGUUGGAGGCCAGAGCUCCAAGUCAGCUGGGAUCAGGCCCAGCCCAGUCGGAGCCAUUGGUCGCCUUCCACCUUGGCCCUUCCGUCGUCGCCGGAGAAAGAAGUUGCUGUCGUUCGGGUCCUGACCGCAGAGCCUUCUGGGAUUUCUCUGUCUUUCAUUUUCUUUUCUAAUUAAGUGGCUUAAUUCAACAGCAUGGCAAAUGCACGUUCAGACAACCUAGGCAAAGUAGAGCUUCUGUCCAGUGCUGUCGGUCAGAACGUGGAGAGAGAGGGUACCUCCUUCCAGAUGCUGUCGUCAUUUAUGUUUUGAAAGGUAAAACACACACAGGAUCAAAACCAAACUCGUACAAAAGAUUUGCAGUGAAAACCUGUCUCCCUCCCCAGCCCCCAGCCGUCCUGCUUCCCUCCCCGGCUGCCGUUGCUUCAUUUCUUCUGCAUCCUUGCGGAAAUGUCCCCAAGCUGACGGAGCACAGGCGCCACGGCGUGCUUCCUCCUCGCCCCUUUUGCUUUAUCUACAUGGUCACCUUCUGUCUGUACGUGCCAGCCUUUUCUCAGAGGCAGUUGCAUAUUAGUACAUACAAGGUGAUCGCUUUCUUUUUAAUGGUCAGAGAGUAAUCCGUUUUCUCCUCAGAGGUCAUUAGGUUUAAACAUUUAUGGAGACCAGAGGUCUUGAGAAAAAGGAAAAAGGUAAGAGAUGCACACGCAGUCUGGGUUUUGGUUUUGGUUUUGUUUGUUAACCUGGAAUGAGUGUCAUUAUAAACUAUUGCUUAGAAUUCUCAACUUAGAAAAUACAUUGAGGUGAGAGUUCCUGUUGUUAGCGCAGCGGAAACGAACUAGGAUCCAUGAGGAUGUGGGUUCAAUCCCUAGCCUUGCUCAGUGGGUUAAGGAUCAAGCGUUGCCGUGAACUGUGGUGUAGACAGGCAGCUGUAGCUCCAAUUUGACCUCUAGCCUAAAAACUUUCUUACGCUGAGGGUGGCCCUAAAAAGCAAAAAAGAAAAAAGGAAAAAAAAAGAAAAUACAUUGAGGAGUUCUCCUAUGUUGCGCCAGGUUAAGGAUCCAGUGUUGUCGCUGCAGCAGCUUCUGUGGCAGCUGUUCAGUCCCUAGCCCAGGAACUUCCACAUGCCCCAGGCGUGGCCAAAAAAAAAAAAAAAAAA
Molecule: non-coding RNA, 3438 nt
Organism: Sus scrofa (pig)
Lineage: Eukaryota; Metazoa; Chordata; Mammalia; Artiodactyla; Suidae
Source: RefSeq, a predicted model, not a curated record